CAGCCGCCGCGGUAAUACGAGGGGGGCAAGCGUUGUUCGGAAUUAUUGGGCGUAAAGGGCGCGUAGGCGGUUUGACAAGUUUGGUGUGAAAUCUAUGGGCUCAACCCAUAGCCUGCAUCGAAAACUGUCGGGCUUGAGUAUGGGAGAGGUGAGUGGAAUUUCCGGUGUAGCGGUGAAAUGCGUAGAUAUCGGAAGGAACACCUGUGGCGAAAGCGGCUCACUGGACCAUUACUGACGCUGAGGCGCGAAAGCUAGGGGAGCAAACAUGAUUAGAUACCCCCGUAGUCCCUGUCUCUUAUAC
Molecule: ribosomal RNA, 301 nt
Filed under: uncultured bacterium
Lineage: Bacteria
Description: partial 16S ribosomal RNA
Rfam family: Bacterial small subunit ribosomal RNA
Source: RNAcentral